GAGACAUGAAAUCAUUGGCAUUUGAAAUAUAUAAUAUUUUUAAACUGCGGCGUUGAUGUCCUUGCAAACAAGUAGUAAAACCGCCCUAAAUCUUUGGUAUCUUCAUUUUUAUACUAGCAAAGUAUCGAUGAACUACAGCCUGGAGUUAAUCUGAAAAAACGAAACGAAUCUGCGUCGAUCUUCUUGUGAUGAUGCACUUGAUUUACAAGGCGUGACGAAUAUUUAUGGACUGAAGAGUAUAAAUAGCAGUAAUAUAUGACAUAUUGUGUAUAGAUCGUAAAGUACAUAUCAGUAGAAAAGCCCUGGGUGUAAGACUUGAUCAAGUAGAUAAGUCUAGUGUGGAUAUAAGGGAUAAGUAGAUUACUACCAGGCAUCAUCAAACCAAGAUCUC
Molecule: long non-coding RNA, 391 nt
Organism: Microplitis mediator
Lineage: Eukaryota; Metazoa; Arthropoda; Insecta; Hymenoptera; Braconidae
Exons: 3
Source: RefSeq, a predicted model, not a curated record